CCUACGGGAGGCAGCAGUCGAGAAUCAUUCACAAUGGGGGAAACCCUGAUGGUGCGACGCCGCGUGGGGGCAUGAAGGUCUUCGGAUUGUAAACCCCUGUCAUGUGGGAGCAAAUUAAAAAGAUAGUACCACAAGAGGAAGAGACGGCUAACUCUGUGCCAGCAGCCGCGGUAAUACAGAGGUCUCAAGCGUUGUUCGGAAUCACUGGGCGUAAAGCGUGCGUAGGCUGUUUCGUAAGUCGUGUGUGAAGGGCGCGGGCGCAACCCGCGGACGGCACAUGUUACUGCGAGACUAGAGUAAUGGAGGGGGAACCGGAAUGCUCGGUGUAGCAGUGAAAUGCGUAGAUAGCGAGAGGAACACUCGUGGCGAAGGCGGGUUCCUGGACAUUAACUGACGCUGAGGCACGAAGGCCAGGGGAGCGAAAGGGAUUAGAUACCCUUGUAGUC
RNAcentral lists this ribosomal RNA (446 nucleotides) under uncultured bacterium. Its description in RNAcentral is "partial 16S ribosomal RNA". It matches the Rfam family "Bacterial small subunit ribosomal RNA", at positions 338 to 795 of the family's 1533-position model. The record is from RNAcentral.